RNAcentral lists this long non-coding RNA (437 nucleotides) under Capsicum annuum. Its description in RNAcentral is "long non-coding RNA (CANN_LNC011120)". Lineage: Eukaryota; Viridiplantae; Streptophyta; Magnoliopsida; Solanales; Solanaceae. The record is from RNAcentral.
UCGAGGCACUUGUUCUAACCUCCCACUAAUAGUUGUCACUUCUUUCCUUAUGGCUUCCACUUCCGUACUUAACCUUUCAAGAGUUUGGGUCUUAGCUUCAAGAGUGACCCUCAUAUUCUCCAUUUUAUUAGAAUCCACGUUUUGAGACAUGGUUCCCUCCAUUUUCAAGGUAUCACAUACAAAAGCAACAAAUUAGUUAGUAUAAAACCCCUCUCCUCACUCAUACUCUCUUGGUUCACUCACACUCAAGCUCUACAAGUAUUGUAGAUUGGCUAGUAACCCAUGAAUCCUUAAGGUAUGAGUAUGCUCUUGUAUGGAAUGGAUUCUUGUUUGAAACUCAAAGAAUUCUCAUCGGACUAGAUUCUAGGAGUUACAACGUAUUCAAAUGACAAAAGCACACAAAGAAAUGAUAACACAAAUAGCGGGCUUCAAAGGAC